CCGCGGUGCGGGCGGGAGCUGCGCCACAGCGCUGGGCGGCCUCCGUGCUUCACCCACCGCCACUCGGCGGACGGCGCCGAUCCGGAGCUUUCAUCCGCCGCUGCCCGGGUUUUGGCGCUCUCUCCGCUGCUGAAAGCUCCGAGAAAGGCGGCAGAGCCGGCCGUCCCGGAGGCCCGGAUGGCGCUGAGGAAAAACGCCCCGAUGUCGUCUGGGAUGGAUUCUGACAGGACGGCGGCACGGCCUGCAGCGAGGGGGGCAGGAAUCGGGGUGGUGCGGUGGAGCUGCGCAGGGAAACGUCGGAUGUGGUUAGCUGUGAAGGUGAAAUCUGUAACGCAGGCUUUGUGUUUGAAUUGCUUGUCUGCUGGGUGGUCUGCAGCGCGGUGAGCCCUGCUCUGCUGCUGGCAUAUGAGGCGUGCUGGGUGUGCGUGGGUUGGUGGCUGCAUGGGUGUGCAGUGGUUUGGUUUAGGCAUUCUGUUUCAAAGCUGCAUGAAAAGCAUCAGGAAAAGCCACUGACAGCAGCGACGUUGAGGUGGCCUCAAGGCUGUGACAGGAAGCAUUCAUCUGAGUCUCUUAAAUAUCGCAGCAUCGUUGUUGUACUCAGCUUUUAUUUCCUCGCGUUGCAGUGAGUAUCAGAAGCAGAUGGGUAAAGGCAGUAUGAAUUUCGUCGGUGUAAGGGCGAAGUAGCAGUCCAGAUAUGUGCUCCUAUGGAGUGUGAACCUGCCUUUGUGUGUCCUGUCAUCCUCGUCUCUUUGGAACUCGGCGUAUCCCUUCUUUCCCUAGGGAUAACUUUGUGGCAUGAAGUGAAUUCAUCACUUUACCUUCAGAAAGGAGGAGUUCCUUUCCUUGCACUCAAGGGAUUAACAGCUCCAGCAGAAUGCCGUGUCAGACUGCAGCAGGCGCCUUGCUGCUGCUGCUGUGGCAUCCCAGGGCUGUGCUGGAUGCCAAUCCUUUCCAACUGGCGCCUGGGAGAAAACAGCACGUUGCAGUUCUGUUUCAUUUGGUCAGUCCUAGCAGGGAAGUACUCCUUUCCAUCCCACUGUUCAGUGGUGUUGACUUCCAAAUCUUUUUCACUUUCAAUGGCAACAGAAAUUGAAAUUGCAUUUUUACUUUCUCUGUUGCUGCUCUGGAGAAGAUUUCAGACAUAUUUCUGUCCUCUGCUCUUUGGUUUCUCAUAACAGAGUUUUAGGGGGCUAUAUAGUUCACUAGUUCUCUGAGCUGCUUGACAUCCAAGGAGGAGUGAAAUUACCCCUUGCAAAACAACAUUUGGAUCACAGUGCAGGUCUCAUUUGGCAAUAGCAUGGCUGUUCUUUGAUGGGGAACCUGUCUGCUGGUGCUUGGAGGGAUGCUGAGCUCUUUUGGCCUGUGAGCCACCGCUGCAAACUACUCAGUUUGCUUUUGAAACUGAGCUAUUCCCGCUGCAAAUUGACAUCUGUCCUCAUGAAGGUGAUUGUUUUAGCUUGGGAACUGUCUCCCCAAACUUUAAAUAGCUUUAGAUCUACUAUAUUAGUUUUGACAAACAACUUCCCUUUUUUUCCAUCUGCUAUCAGAACCAUUUUCCCGAGUUCCUGUCCACCAUGUGGAUACCCAUGGGCAUCUUAACACCAACAGAUAGAAUGUAUCUGGCUUCUUCCAUUACUUUCCCUUCCACAGAUGUGAUAAAGUGUCACAGACAAUCCCUCCUCACCUUUGAGUGGCCUUUGUUGCAGUGGAAAGCAACAGCAUGCUGUGAUACACACAGCGAUCCUGACGAAUGACCUGUGGAAUGGUGGUUUGACACAGCAGUGCAUGUUGGGGCUUGAAGCAUACCGUCCUCCUCCUCUUUAACCCAAGUUUCACAUGCAGAACUGAAUUUCGACACCUCAAUCUGUACAACUUUUUCAUUUUGAAGUAAUCCUCAAAUGCCCUCAUAAAACUAGUCUUUAGAAUCCACGCUGGCCAAACUUUGUGUUGCUGUUUGGGGAGUGACAGUUCCUAUGGAGUCACAUAUAGUGUUUGCUGAAUCCUUUAUCUGGUGUAGUAUUUUGCUAACCCUCUUUCCACUGUGUUGUAGCCUGGGAUAGUUGAACAGUUCAGUAGUGUGGCCCAUAUUCUCAAAAUUGGAGGCACGGGCCUUGAACCAACAGUUAUUCUUUGUCUCCCUGGUUUUAAGAGGCUUGACUUUAAAGCCACAGCAUUUAAUGUGUGAGUCACUAUACUGGUAAGUACUAUGUUUGCAAAAUACAAAUGCAAAAUGUCUGUCCCACGUAUACAUGAGGUUUCCGAAGGUUGGUGGCUUUAUUCUGUGUAUAUGCAAACAAAGAAACAUAAACGUUUGUGCUGUAUAAAUGUGAUUUUCGCUGUUGGCAUAGUCCUUCUUGGUUCUGUCCUGAUUGUUCACAUUCAGUGUACUUCUCUCAUGAAGUUCAGAUAUUGUUAUGGGUCCCUGUAACUCAGAGACCUGCAUGGAUCUCUUUUCUAUUACCCUGAGUUCAUAGGAGUUUCAAAGUGCCUUACUACAGUGGGCUGUGAAGGCAUGGUGUGGGCUCACAGCAGUUUGGUUCUUAAUCCUUUGUCCUAUGCCAUACACUGGCCCUGCUGCAUGAUUCACUGUGAUUACCUUCCUUUACAGGUGGAAAUUCUUCCUGCCAUGAAACACACUGUUCUCUCAAGACACGACAAGGCAUUCUUCAUUAAAUAGAGUGUGAUUGUGUUGCUCAGAGAGGAGCUACAUCAUUCUGCCUCUUCCUGAGCAUGAUUUGAAUGUCGGGAUCAGCCCAAGACAAUGCAAGAACACAAGCCAUGAAAUCAAGAAUCUAGGAAAAAAGAAGUGUCUUACCUCCGUUUUUUUUCUAGCAAGGGGUUCUGCCUUAUACGGUCUGGGGUAGAGCUGUUUCUUGUGUUCAUAGCAACAUCUGUCCGGUCACUGUCAUUCAUGUCAAGUAGCAGAGCAAUUUGCUGAUUCACUCAAAAGAGACACAGAAUGAGACUUUUUUCAUGGAAGCCUUUUUUUCCCUCCUGUGCUGGCAGACCUAACUCCUGGCUUUGUACUCUCCGGGACAGUCAUUUAAUGAGCAGUCAGUGAAUCAAUCCUUACAAGACACACAGACUGAAAUGUUCAAAUGCAACUACCUGAACGUGAAUCGAAGGCACUGAUGGGAGAAUGCAACAACCCUUUGCACAGUGCCCGGCGUCAGUCUUAUGCUUGCUUAUCUCACGGGAAAGUCACACUGUGGAUUUGAAUUCAUUAUUUAAUCUAAAUACUCUCAGAGAGACACUGGCUGUCAGAAGUGACUUUGUAAAUCAGUCUACGGGAGAUCGGAAAGGGGAGAAAUAGAUGACAACAAGGAGACGUCUUGAAGGAAGAACUAGGAAACAGCAGAAUGGUUGGAUGUUGGGGAUCCUCCACCUGUACCAGUCAGAAUUCCCUGGCCUCGAGUCUGUCUGUGCUUCAUGAACUAAGCAAAAAAAAAAAAAAAAAAAAAAAAAAAAAAAAGGAAUUAAAAGACAAGGUGAAAAAAAAAAAAAGGCAAAAAAAGCAAAAUGUCAGUAUAAGACUUCUUCACCUAAAUCAGAAAAUGCGGUUCUGAAGAGCCCACAGGAAGCUAGUAGACAAGGAGCAGUGGUGGAAUCUUAAUAGAAUUUAGCUGACAAAUGUGGAAGAGUGGCAUGAAUCAAUCAGAGAUUUACAGUUUGGCCAGGUUGGAUGGUUUCCCAGAAGGGUACUGAAAAGAACUUGAAGGCCAUGCAGCUUCUUUCUUUCUCAACUGUGAUUGCAUGACAGUUUAGUGGCUUCUGCCAAGAUGAAAAGGCAUGCAGGCAUCUUAAUAAAGUAGCUAAUGAGCAGAAUUUCUUUUGUUGAUGAAUAAAUGGUUUUUCCUACCUCAUUAUUUUAAAUGUGAGGACUGUGUUCAGUUUGGAGUGUGUUUUUAAACCAGCCUGAUGGACUUGCUUGACAUGGACAGCUCAAAUGGUUUCAGUUUGGCAAACUGGCAACCAGCUGAAAAUGUGAUCUUCUGCUGGUCACAGAGCAACAAGUGGUCUUGUGUGAGUGCAUACGAGUGGAUGAGGCUGUGAUUUGGACGAAGAGCUGAACAGCCGUGUGCCUGCAUCUGAAAGAGAGCACAGCUGGGCAAUGAUAGUGCAGAAGGAAGGCUCUAGAGACUCUUCUCAUUAAAGUAUCUCUGAUUGUCAAAGAGAACUGUUCGUUUGUUCUGUGAAUACUACCAUGCGUUACAGGUCUUGCUGUUUCCAAAGGCGAGUGGUGGUAUAUGGAAUGAAGGCACCAUAGCUGCAAACAGACUGGCAGUGAAAAUCUGAAUUUCGGACAGGACUUUCUAAGAAAUGUAUGUCCACACUGGUCUGCGGAGUCUUUCUGAAAUGACUGAAGGAAGGAGCCUGCAGGCCUUCACAAGAGGAGUUCCUUUUGGAACCAAAGGCAAUAAAACUCUUAGACUGCCAAUAUCAGGAGCUUGGUUUCAACAACCUGAGAUGCGAUGUGCAUGUGUCUGUUGCCUUAGCCUUUACCUUGAUGUCUUUCCAAAAUGUGUUCUCUGGAGUAAGUUCUCAUACAAGCUAGCCUGCUGUUCUGCAUCUUUUCUGUUUUCCCCAGGCUGCAGCAGGUUCACCUUCUAAGCUGGCCCAUCAGCAAUGCUGUGAGAGCUCAGUAGCUUUAUUUGCCCUGUCUUCUCCGUUUGUUUUUCCUUCAAACCCUUAGCAAGCCUUUUUGUCUUCGCCACCUCUGAACUCUCUGCUGCUGUCUUCUGCCUGGGUCCUACUGCACCAGGGGUCAUCUCUGCUUCAUGUAGUAUGGCCUUGGCCUCCAGCUGCCACUAGUUUGGGUUGAAGGCUGCGCAGGGGCUGUGGGGCUGAGCCCACAGCUGGAACACUGCCAUCAGCAUAGGGGAGGAGGGAAGAGGUCUUUUCUCGCUCUCCUUGCAUAUUUGCACCCAUUGGAGCCUUGGUGUUGCUGCCAUGGACCCACAAGGUUGCCCUCAUCAGUGCUAGGCAUUCAGUAUUCAGCUUGAACGUGGAGGUGUGCUUUGCCAGGAGGAACACCACCAUUUCCAGGCAGCAGGGAUGCACAUCACCAGCUCUCUCAGUGCCACAAGAGGCCAUCCCAACUCCAAACACUACAUGGGGAAGCUGCCUGGAAAAUGGGAGAGAAUUUCUACAUCAGGAGUGACUCAGGACUUUGGUAUAUUGCGUUCUCAAAUAUUUAUUUCAGUGUUCUUAUAAAUGUUUUAUUUGGAGAAAAAUAUUGUAAUUAGCCAAUAUUCCAUAAAAUCUAAAUAUUUUGCUCUAAGAUAGUACUUCCCCUGAUUGUGGAGAUUUGAUUCUUUGCUGAUUACACAGUUCAAGCUCUGUGUAUUGACGAGGGCUUUCCUCCACUCUGUGGUCUGUUUACAUGUGACUGAGGCCUUAAUCCAGGCACUCUAAUAGCAAGCGGGGACAAAGACGAUUUAUCCUUGGUUAAUCUUCAAAAAUUGCUUUUCAUCUGACUUUUUUUCCACUGAGGAAGAUUGCAUACGGGAACAGAAUGGGGCAGUUGAGGAAUAAAAAGCAGAGUUCCCUGUAACAGCUGCACUGACUGUACAGAGAACGGGGACGCUUGUCAGAAACAAGGAGCUGUACUAGAGAGGCCACUUGUUCUCUGCACUCGUGCAAUACAAGAGGUGUGGGAGAGCAGGCUGUGUGCAAUGUGUGCCUUGGGCCUGUCCCUGUGAGCUCUUCCUUAAUGCAAGCUGUGAAGGGACUUUCUCUGGUGUCACUCAUUUUCCAGCACUUGAAGGGUAUUUAGCACACUAAAUGGAGCAAUACUCUAUACGCAGUGCUUUGCUGCGUGCUGAUUUCAUGGUCCAGAGAUCCACCUUUGCAAGCCUGCACUGAGGAUGCUCAGGCUUCCACCCUUUCAGGACCUGUGUUGGAGUACACAGGGAGCUGGCCCUGCUCUUGUUUUUCCCAAGCCUGUGGUAGAGCUGAGGUUGGCUCCUGGGCUGCAGCUGUUGGAACCAGCAGGCAGCAGUACCAGGCAUGGGUGGAAAAAUGCACAGUGUGAGCAUCGUGCGAAUGUUGAGGGUUUUUUGAAGCGUCAUCUGAAGGCUUUAAUCCAUUAUAUGGUCCCAGUGAACACUGCUGGCAUCCAUCAUUCUGCUUGGCUCUAUUUACCAUCUAUACCUGGUUCCAGGAAACGUUUUAACAGAUAUGAGGAGAAGAGGAGGAAGCUUGUAACAACAGCUUUCUACUUUGCAGGAUACCAAAGGAAUGCACGUGUGUAAGAAUGAAAGGCAAGUACUACAAGUGGAUCGGAAACAGCUUUAUUUUGUGACAGGUGGUUUUUGUAUCCUGCAGAUGGAGCAGCUACAGUGGGGUAAGAAUGAGGCAUGUUUUGGGUGGCUGGGAAUCAUAGAAUCAUGGAAUGGCCUCGGAUGAAAAGGACCACAAUGAUCAUCGAGUUCCAACCCCCUGCUAUGUGCAGGGUUGCCAACCACCAGACCAGGCUGCCCAGAGCCACAUCCAGCCUGGCCUUGAGAGACCCAGUACAGCACAAGGAGCAUCCAAAUUGGGUACAAAUUAGGAGAAAUUCAAGUGUUUUCUGAAAUGUGUGUUUGCUGUGAAACGUGGCUGAUGUUGAGGGGCUGUCCGUGGCAGUGUCAAGACAGGAGAAUUCAUCAAGAGAGAGCAAGCUGCAGCAUUCAGAACUGUGAAAAUUGUAAAAUCUCCCGUGUCUUGCACUAGUAGAGAUAGAAGUAUGUGGAGAAGUCCUUUGGCUUUGGAGGGCUCUGUGAAUCAUCUCAUGCUGGGAAGGGCUUGUGUUCCUGCAGUUACGUUUGUUACUCCCUUGCCCAGUGACCUACGAAACCCUUCUUGGUCCUUGUGCAUUGGAUGGAAGAAGAAAUUCAAAAUUACUUCAAAGCCACCUCCAGUAACUUCUUCAAAGGAGAUGUAGUGUAAUCUUUGUUGUAGGUGUAGGUGUUGGAAUGGCCUCCCCCAUCACUGAGGCUAUCAGUGUUGUUUUUCUGGAGGGUGAUAGUGGCAGAGGCAGAAAGCAGAAGUGCACCACAAAAGGGAACCAGCUGCUCUCCCAUCCUACAGCAUGGUGAAAAAGAGUGAAGAACUGGUACCCUUCUGGACAUAGGCUUUAUUCCAAGUGCUGGGAAAGUGAGAGAAAAGCCCCUGAGAUGCAGAAGAGGGGGGAAGAAGGUCUGCAGGUGGGAUCUGGCCAGGAUUGGGUCCCAACACCACAGCAGUGCCAGGCCUGGGGCCACUGGUGUGUUCCGCAGCCACCCACCAGGGCUCUGUCUCAGCUGCGGGGACACUGUGCACUGGCAGCAUUUGAUGUAGUGACAGUGAAGACCUCAGGUGGAGCAGGAGUUCAGCAGCUACUGACAUGCAGGACCUCCAUUUGGAGAGGGCUGCCAUGGUCGGAGCCACAGGGAAUACAGCGCUGGCUUGUGGCAGCCACACAUGGAGGAGCAAUGGAUGACCCUGAUCUAGUGGUUGACAUCAUGACUUACAAGAACGACCUUCAGACAUGGAAAGGAUAGAAGAGUACCUCUCAGGGACCAUGGAGCUGGCAAGCACCCCAGGAUACUGGUGGUGGCCGUAGCAGCUUUGCUGUGGAUAAAUUCUCCUAUUUCCAAAGGGAAUUUGUGACCAUGUAUGAAAUGCCAAACAAUGUGCUAGCAAUCUUUUUGUAUGUAGAUAAGGCAUUUUAAUGCAAUACAGCUCAGCCUGCCUGCAGCAGACCAGACGUACUGACAAGGAUUAAUCGUCCAGCGCAAGACUUGGCAGAGUAACAAGCAGGGAGGACUCCUAACCAGGCAGCUGUUUGGGUCUUAUAUAAGCUGUCUAGACCAAACAUGAAGAAACGAAGCCAACCCUGGCAUCGGACUACCACUUCUGCACAGACAGUUUCCAACCUACAGCUUUCAUAUCUGAGCUUGUGCAAAGCAAGGGAGAAACAGAAGGAUGUUAACAGUCAAGCCAACUCUGCAUCAGAAAAAAGUCUGUGAGCAACUAUAAAAAUAAUGGAAAAGAACAGUAAUGAGUGAGAUUUACUACAGCUAGGAAAACAGUUGACAUUUUGCAUACAGAAAAUAUUGCGUUGCCAAGAACAUCUCCUCACAGUGAGCCCACAGGAGUCAGGUAGAGCUGGGGAACAUGGCUUAUGCUACAACAAAGGGGAGGAUGCUCCUGGCGGAAAGCAGCCUGGGAGAGAAGGUGCAACUUUUCCAAGUUCCUUGUGACUGUUCCAGUGGAAGAUCAAAUUCAUUCAAAGAGAAAAUAUAAUCAGAAAAGAGGCUGUUCUUGAAGUAUUUCACAUGGCAAAUAAGAAGAAAGGUCUGUGGCUGGGACAGGUGUGACCGUGAGGGACUGAAAACAACCAGGGCUGUCACCAGGGAGCAGCGGAGCAAGAUAUAUCCUGUUGGUGGGUAAUGGAUUAGCCAUUGGCAACCUUCAGCUUGAAGGAAGCCAGGAGUUGUAUGACACAACCAAUCCUUGUGCCAUGGGGCAGGAUGUGACCCGCUGGGCGCAGCACAUGCAGGAGCCCUUUGUCACCACGUUGUUUGGCUCAUUAAUGAAUACCAGAACCAGUCUCGUACAGGUUGUCCACAACGUUACACACGUCUGGCUUUUUUUGGGAGCAGUGUGUCACAGGUGCCUGUUUUGCUGUUUCUUGCUGCCAGGGCCCAGGAGAUACGAGCUGCUGAGCAGUGGGGUGCAGGAGGCCCUACCUUGGUGGCCAUGCAGAAGUGGGUUUGUCCCUGCCCAGCCCCAGAGGAGCUCUCCCAUGGAGGACUGCCUGCAGCCAUCCUGACAGUGAGAGCAGACUGUGCCCAGGGACUCUGGGGCUCUUUGGCUUUGUUUGUGGCACAGCUUCUAGGAAGCCCCUAUGAAAGACCAUCACGUUUGGGAAUGUCUGUAACCUGGUUUUUAAGUUACAAGGAUUGGUAUUUUCCCUGUACCCCUUGUCCUUAUUCCAAACCCUUCCUUUCUUGGCUAUAGCAGAUCUCAGCAUUGUGAUUUAUGGGCUCCAGAGGUGUCCCAAAAAGGGAAAAAAUAGCUGUGUUCAGACAGUGUGACAAAGAAAUUGGAGAGAUGGGGGGGGCUGGGGACUGACGGGUCACCUCAUAGGAAUGUCCUGCCUGUGGAGAUGCUGGAGCAGCCUCCUUCCCUUGCUCACAUGGUCAGAGCCUUGUACAAGCAUUUAGAGCUGAGUUGGAACCAUAGCAGAUACAUGACCUGUUUUCUGGACUGACAGAGGGUUUUCUACCCAGCUCCAGGUGUGGCUGUGAGAUGGCAAAAGACUGGGACAGCCCCACACAGCCACUUAACUGCAUUAAAGCAAGCAGGACUGAGUUUCCUGGCUACCAGCUGUGCCUCUGCUCAGGUCUCCGUCCUUGUGGCUGCCUACAGGCUUGCUCUUGCCCUGAAUGGCACACAGAACUCAUCCUAGCCCUGCACGCAUAGUGCUGUCCUGAGCACGUGCCAGCCCUGCUUCAGCCUCCCAUCUCCCUCUGUUCCCAGUGGACGCAGUGCUCUUGCCAGCCCGUGGCUGCAUCCUCUGAUGCUGUGCAGCUGUUCCUAUUGGCAGCAUGGCACCAGCACAACCAGGUGCCUGGCACAGUGAGAUACAGCAGGAGCAUCUGGCUCAGUGCAGCAGCUCUUCCCUGCACCGCCGGGCCCCAUGCAACACUCAGUGUGCUACACGCUGCUCAUAACCCUGUGGAGUGCCUGCACCUCUCUGAGCAACAGGAGCAGGCAGACCGAUGGACAGACCUGCUGGUUCUCUUAUGCACGGGAUGGUAGACACAACAGAGGUUCAGCCCCAGGGAUUGAUACUUGAAACAAAUCACUCCAGAGCAAAGAGAAGUGGUGCGUGCCAGCUGGGUGUGAUGAGAACUGGAGUCCUCAUUGCCAGCAACAGCAUUGCUCCUCCUCAGGCAGAUGUGGGACCUUCCUCAUCACACGGCUCCUUCACAUCUCGGUGAUGUGGCAUCCGCAGUGCUGGUAGGAGGCUGUACAGCGCCCGUGCCAGAGCAGGAUGUGAGGAAUUAAAUACUCCCGAUCCUGCCCUGGCCCUGAGCAGAACGUGAGUCACAUCUGAGAAAUGGGUACAUCUGUUUAGGAAGGAGUACUCUGUCCUGAGCCAAUGGCAUCGGUUGUGCCCGGGCAGAUGGGCCCCAUGGCCACUCUGGGCAAGAGACUCGUGCUGAAGGGUUGGCAGAGCUGCAGCAUUGCUGUACCUUCUUCUUCCCUGGGGUGGUCAGCCCUUGAAGCCACCUGAUGCUCAGCUGCAUGCCGAGUGGGAAAUAAGCAAAUCCGCAGCACCAAGGCUUGGAUGUGUCAGUCCCCAGGAGGAAGAGGAGGAGGCACGGAGCGUGGCUGCCUGCUUCCCUUCUUCAGCAGCUCCACAUGGCUGGAAGAGCUUCUCCACUGCCUGGGCACCUUGGGGCCCCAAGCCAUGGGAACUGAGAACCCCAAAACUCAGCCAGCACGAUGUCACUGCUUGUAAGAGCUCUGUGGGAGCUGCCCUGGAUGUUGGCACGCAGGGGAGCAGCAUCGCUGUGUUACACCUGUGCUUGCUGUGCAGCAAAGCCAGGAGCUUUCCUCCUCCUCCUCCCUGAGCACAAUGCGGUGGCUUUUGGUAGCCAGGGGCAGGGAUAGAGGCCUGGCACAGGCAUCCCAUGGGGGUGGCUCUCCUUGCUCCGCUUCUACACGAAUAACAAAAUCUCCUACAAGGCUGCGUUCAGCGGAGUGCACACAGCAGCUCCCCAGGCUCACUGCUGCAGAGAGCCCAGGGGAUGCAGUGCCAUCAGCACUGGGCAUGCAAAGGUGCUGCAGAGCCACGACCUUGGCUAAGUGUGGCUCAGAGAGGCACAGAGGGACACUUAACAGCUAGCGACGGACAACAGUUGCAGGAGGAGAGCUCUGCAUAUGCUGAGACCGCCGUGCUCCUGGCUGCCCUAUCAGCAGAGCUCAGCGUGCUCCCACACGUGGGUGCUGUGCGGGACCCCCAACUCCUGCAGCCAAAUGGAGCCAAAACUCCAUUUACAGCCAAAUUUGGGGUGUUCGGUGGUUUUUUUUUUUGCUGAAAGGCCGAGUCGGACGGAAAUAUUUCCAUGAUGUCUCUCCCGUCGGUUUCUAAUUCCGAACAAAAGUUUCCUUUUACACAAACAAACUUCGCCGCGGUCGGGCAGCCCGUGCCCAGCCGGGGCUCC
RNAcentral lists this long non-coding RNA (11201 nucleotides) under Gallus gallus (chicken). RNAcentral's name for it is "lncRNA (ENSGALG00010026900.1)". Lineage: Eukaryota; Metazoa; Chordata; Aves; Galliformes; Phasianidae. The record is from RNAcentral.